Nymphaea colorata (pocket water lily) is the source of this 956-nucleotide long non-coding RNA. RefSeq lists it as uncharacterized. The transcript has 3 exons. NCBI's taxonomy places the organism in Eukaryota, Viridiplantae, Streptophyta, Magnoliopsida, Nymphaeales, Nymphaeaceae. The record is from RefSeq and is a predicted model, not a curated record.
CCCGUUUAACCCAAAAGGGAGCCAGUGGAAUUCCACCCGCUCGAAAGUCCGAGCUCUUUGAGUGGGUGAAAUUUCACCCGCUCGUUGUUUCGGCCGCUCGACCUCCCUCCUCAAUGCACGACCUCCUUCGGCAGCUCACAUCGCACCGCAGCUCCUCCUCCCUCGAGCCUUCUCACAUCGCACCAAAGUGGAAGGAGGUCGCACCGUGCCGCUGCCUCUCUGCUCCACCGCCGAGACCGUCGCCUCUGUGCCGUCGCGUCUCCGCUCCACCGCCGAGCUUCGACUCCUGCUUCAUUAGACGCUUGUUCAUUUUGGCUUAUAAUGUUGAACAUGUAUAUGUUUAAAAUGGAUGAUAUAUGCAUCAUGAUGACUUGAAAUGUGAGAGAGAGAGAGAGAGAGGGAGAGAGAGGGAGGGACACUUCAUGUAGGUUGGAAGCAUGGUAUGCACAGUAACGGAUGCUCGGUACAUCUCGAUCCUGUUCUUCUGCAGCUGACUUGCAGGUGCUAAAUGGGAAGCAUGUAGACUGCCCCUCUCCAACCUACAGUCCAAAGCUACUCACUGCGCAAUCUAAGUUACGCAUAAGAUGGAGCUCUGGAGCUCUCAUUCAGCACUCGUACAUUACCAUUUUUAAUCUUGAACCAUGAACUGUAAGACCCUGUUGCUUGCACAUCAACCAACAGAUGUAGACUUAUCUGGACAGGUGAAUGUUAAUCAACAAGACACUGAAAUGGGGUCUCAAAGCGCAGUUACAUGGAACUGCCAUAUGUUGCUUACAGAUUUUAGUUCUUGUGUCAAAAGUUUAGGCCAAUCUGAUUCCCUUUGUCUGUAGUUUGAACUGGGCUUCUGCCAUUUCUUUUUUCUUCUAUCAUUUUCUUCUUAGAUGUUAGGGUUUGUAACUAAUAUGACAUAUGUUAGGGUUUGUAAUUAAUAUGGCAUGUGUUCAAACAUGCCUUGG